This 294-nucleotide small nuclear RNA is filed under the name Sorex araneus (European shrew). Its description in RNAcentral is "7SK RNA (ENSSARG00000018090.1)". It matches the Rfam family "7SK RNA". From Rfam's summary of the family: 7SK was discovered as an abundant small nuclear RNA in the mid-70s but a possible function has only recently been suggested. Two independent studies have found that 7SK RNA binds the CDK9/cyclin T complex (known as elongation factor P-TEFb). P-TEFb activates transcription by phosphorylating the C-terminal domain of RNA polymerase II. The record is from RNAcentral. Lineage: Eukaryota; Metazoa; Chordata; Mammalia; Eulipotyphla; Soricidae.
CAAUGUGAGGGCGAUCUGGCUGCAACACCUGUCACCCCACUGAUUGCCAUGGUUAAUUCGGCUGAUCCCGCUGGCUAGGCAGGUGUGCCCUUCCUCCCUCACCGCUCCACGUGCGUCCCUUCCCGAAGCUGCACACUCAAGUCUAAGAGGACAGCCUUCCCCAAAUAGAGACCGACCGGUCUUCAAUCGAGGGUAUACGAGUAGCUGCGCUCCCCUGCUAGAACCUCCAAACCAAGACAUUAAUCAGUUGAAAAUUUGCAUAUGUGGGUUUUAUGAGUGAAAUCUCCAGACUUU